RNAcentral lists this ribosomal RNA (206 nucleotides) under uncultured bacterium. Its description in RNAcentral is "partial 16S ribosomal RNA". It matches the Rfam family "Bacterial small subunit ribosomal RNA", at positions 1294 to 1500 of the family's 1533-position model. The record is from RNAcentral.
CGGAUUGCAGGCUGCAACCCGCCUGCAUGAAGUUGGAAUCGCUAGUAAUCGCGGAUCAGCAUGCCGCGGUGAAUACGUUCCCGGGCCUUGUACACACCGCCCGUCACACCAUGAGAGUCGGGAACACCCGAAGUCCGUAGCCUGACCGCAAGGGGGCGCGGCCGAAGGUGGGUUCGAUAAUUGGGGUGAAGUCGUAACAAGGUAGC